Gallus gallus (chicken) is the source of this 2755-nucleotide long non-coding RNA. RefSeq lists it as uncharacterized. Lineage: Eukaryota; Metazoa; Chordata; Aves; Galliformes; Phasianidae. The transcript is spliced from 6 exons. The record is from RefSeq and is a predicted model, not a curated record.
AAAGCCUCUUAAGCUCCUCCGGAGGCUGCCGGGAGCCACGGGGGAGUUCUUGCGGUUCUCCCCGAGAGACGGAGGGGGCUCCGGUUCCUUUGACCGCUCUUAGCGCUGCUGGAGCUGGGAAGCGGUACCAGGGGCUGCUUUUAAAAUGGAGCUUUGGGGGGGUCUCUUUAAUGUUCUCGUUGUGUCGUUUUGUUUCAGGCUGCUGUGAGACCUCUCGCGGUAAGGAUCCGCCCAAACCGGUGUGAGCCGUUUUGGUAGUAACGGGACCGUGCAGGCGGCGAGGGCUCGGGAGCCGCGAGGAUCUCUUCGGCUGGAGCGGGAGGCUGCCGGGCUCCCGGACCCCGCUCUUCCCGGGGCCGGCGUAGGGCUGCCGCCGGGCUUCCCCGGCUGUUUGCUGUCGAUACAGCGUCGCCGCCCGGCUCCCAUCGCGUUUUCGGAGGGAGCUGCCGCUCAGGUCCUUAAGUCCUACCGCAGCCCCGGGGUGCUCUGAGCCUCCCUCUUCCUAGGGUUGUUUGUAGCGGGUGCUUCGGUUCUUCAGGCUCUCAUCGGCUGAGCGAGUGUUCCGGCAGAGCCUCUCCUCGCUCCAAAGCGGUGAGCUCGUGGAAGCGGUGAGCGUUGGGGAGUCAGCUGGUAAGAUCUCUCUUCUCGGGGUUUAUGUAGGGCUGUUGCUCGGCUACCUCUGCACCUUCGGGAUCGGCACGGCGCCGCUUCUGGGCUCCCGCGUGGCCUUUUAGAGAAGAGCCGGCACGAGGCCGCUGCCCGACGGCUCGAGACCGAGCGCGGCCCCGGGGCGGCCUCAGCCCCCGAGGAGGGUUCUACUGGUGCUCCAGCCCCCCCGUUUCCAGCGGUGGGAGCGAGCAGGAUGGGAACACUUGUUUUCUUUUUUUCUCCCCCUUCCUUCACGUGGGACUUCAGGAGCACGGUUUUGUGCCUACCGUGGAGACCUGGUGGGGCAGCUUGCAUGACCGGAAUGCUGUUGUGGAUGGCUUUGUUCCUUUUAGGAAAGACAGACCGGCCAGGUGGUGGAGUCUCUCUUCCAGUGAGAGAAUGGAAAUGUAUCGAGCUCUGCCUCGGGGUGAAUGAAGAACUAGCGGAGCGCUUGCAUGUGAGGCUCAAGAGGCAGGUAAAUGUGGGUGACAUCACUGUGGGUGGUAUCUCUACUGGCAGGAGACCUGCAGGGUUGAAUGAGGAACUCAAGAUGAACUUGAAGGGGAAAAGGAAGACUUGGGCUAAGGAAGACGAUGACCCUCUCAGUAUCACCUUUGGGAAGGGAGGUCAAGGCUAAUAGAAGUUGGUCAAUGGGAGAAAGGAGACUAGAGCGGGCCUCUGCUUUACAAGGUGGAGGCCCUGGUAAUAGAGUAUGUGCUGAAUGUAUUUUUGGUUUCAGUGGUCGCUGCUGAGUCUGCUCCUUGGGAUCCCUGGAUUCUGGAGGAAAUAGUUUUAGAGGAAGGAUGACUUCCUCUUGAUUGUGGAGGAGCUGGUCAAAGGUCAUUUAGGCAAACUCUCUGUCACGUUUCCUCUGUUCUUUCCUAUAGGAAAGGUGCCCAAAGACUGGAGGAUAGCUGAUGUCACCUCAGCCUUCGGAAAGGGUGAGGAGGAUGGCCUGUGUGUAUGGGAACUGUUGAAUCACAGCCUGAACCUUUGAUUCCUCCACCUGAGGAGAGUGCCGAGUCAGCUGCAGGGGCACAGGUGAAUGCAAUUUCACCUGAGUGAGGGGAAGAGGUGGAGCCUGGCUCCAUCCCUCCUAGAUGCCAUUUAAGGGCUGACUCCCAAGGAGGAAGGAUCUCUGGCUGGAGAUCCUCUUGGAGCCCUUCUGUAAGCCCAGGACAUGGGUAAGAUCUUUAUUUCAUUUCUCCUUUGUAAUGUGUUAUUCUCUGUGGUCCAAUACCUGUAUACCUGUUUGUCAUACAGCUGUGCAACUGUAGGUUGGUUAGCCUCACCUCCCUUCCUGGAAUGGCAAUGUAACAACUGCUUCUGGAUGUCAUCUCCAAGCAACUGGAAGAGAAGAAAUGUCUAAGGAGCGGUCAAGGGUGAAGGCUGCAGGGAGGAUUGGCUGGAAUACGUGAGCUGCUUUUUUCCAGUGCUGGGAUGAAGGAGGUGAGAGAUGGGGACCCACCAGUGGGUCCCCUGCUAGCAGAGGGCUGCCUUCUGUGUGGUUCACAGGUCUUCCUGCAGGUUCAGGGCUGGAGUGAGGUCUGAAGGUGUGUGGCAGGUUCUCUCUUGGAGGAAUGGAACUGAUGAAGUGCUGGAGUUUGGGGUCCUGGUGCAGCUGUUGUCUGAAGGUCCUGAUCCUGGGCUGGGAGGUGCAGCGCUGGAUCUGCUGAAGGAGCAGAGGCAAGAGCUGAAUUUCUGCAUGGCAGCAUCUCUUGAAUGCAGUAGAGCUUCCCCAGCUUGAAGAUGGGUGUGCUAUCCAUAUGCCAGAGGAGUGGCAUCAACUGUCUUGUAAUAAACUUCUCAUUUCCUUUUUUAAGAUGAGCCCACUGCGACCUCUCUGGUUUCUUACUAGUUAACUCAGGAGCGUGCUUCUCAGAGAAACUCUUUGUGUUGAAUCUCAGUGAGUGAGUUACUGUGAACCUUCCUCCCAAACUGAGACUGAACUCGAGCAGAAGUGACAAUAUGUUGUACUCUGCAUGUAGCUCUUUAACAGAAGACAUGGAACUCUGGGGUUGUGCCUUUGUGUUAAAUGUUUGCAUGCAGUGUAUUGCAUCUUCAUGUGAGAGUCUGCAGUUAAUAAACUUUGCUUUUAAUUAGUUAA